GGGUCUGUAAUUCAGCGGUAGAAUAUCCGGCUCCAGACCGGAAAAUGAGGGUUCAACUCCCUCCAGGCCCA
Molecule: transfer RNA, 71 nt
Filed under: Nanobdellota archaeon
Lineage: Archaea; Nanobdellati; Nanobdellota
Description: tRNA-Trp
Rfam family: tRNA
About the family: Transfer RNA (tRNA) molecules are approximately 80 nucleotides in length. Their secondary structure includes four short double-helical elements and three loops (D, anti-codon, and T loops). Further hydrogen bonds mediate the characteristic L-shaped molecular structure. tRNAs have two regions of fundamental functional importance: the anti-codon, which is responsible for specific mRNA codon recognition, and the 3' end, to which the tRNAs corresponding amino acid is attached (by aminoacyl-tRNA synthetases). tRNAs cope with the degeneracy of the genetic code in two manners: having more than one tRNA (with a specific anti-codon) for a particular amino acid; and 'wobble' base-pairing, i.e. permitting non-standard base-pairing at the 3rd anti-codon position.
Source: RNAcentral